CCGAAACAUUCCAGCCAAUCAGCAGCAGACCCUCCCUCCCAGACCCUCCCACCUCCUGGACAGCAUCCAUUUUACAUUCAUUGUGAAGCUGCAUUCUUAGUGAGCUGUCCAGGAGGUGGGAGGGUCUGGGAGGGAGGGUCUGCUGCUGAUUGGCUGGAAUGUGUCU
Non-coding RNA from Pelobates cultripes (western spadefoot toad), 166 nucleotides. Lineage: Eukaryota; Metazoa; Chordata; Amphibia; Anura; Pelobatidae. The record is from the annotation of a GenBank genome assembly.